AUUGAACGCUGGCGGCAUGCCUUACACAUGCAAGUCGAACGGCAGCACGGGUGCUUGCACCUGGUGGCGAGUGGCGAACGAGUGAGUAAUACAUCGGAACAUGUCCUGUAGUGGGGGAUAGCCCGGCGAAAGCCGGAUUAAUACCGCAUACGAUCCACGGAUGAAAGCGGGGGACCUUCGGGCCUCGCGCUAUAGGGUUGGCCGAUGGCUGAUUAGCUAGUUGGUGGGGUAAAGGCCUACCAAGGCGACGAUCAGUAGCUGGUCUGAGAGGACGACCAGCCACACUGGGACUGAGACACGGCCCAGACUCCUACGGGAGGCAGCAGUGGGGAAUUUUGGACAAUGGGCGAAAGCCUGAUCCAGCAAUGCCGCGUGUGUGAAGAAGGCCUUCGGGUUGUAAAGCACUUUUGUCCGGAAAGAAAUCCUUGACUCUAAUACAGUCGGGGGAUGACGGUACCGGAAGAAUAAGCACCGGCUAACUACGUG
Molecule: ribosomal RNA, 486 nt
Filed under: uncultured bacterium
Lineage: Bacteria
Description: partial 16S ribosomal RNA
Rfam family: Bacterial small subunit ribosomal RNA
Source: RNAcentral